GGAUUCCAAAUUAAACUAUUCUUCG
This 25-nucleotide transfer RNA is filed under the name Leptatherina wallacei (western hardyhead). RNAcentral describes it as "partial tRNA-Pro". The record is from RNAcentral. Lineage: Eukaryota; Metazoa; Chordata; Actinopteri; Atheriniformes; Atherinidae.